Molecule: ribosomal RNA, 462 nt
Filed under: uncultured bacterium
Lineage: Bacteria
Description: bacterial SSU rRNA
Rfam family: Bacterial small subunit ribosomal RNA
Source: RNAcentral
GAACGCUGGCGGCGUGCCUAACACAUGCAAGUCGAACGGGGUGAGAUCCUUCGGGGUUUCACUUAGUGGCGAACGGGUGAGUAACGCGUGAGAAACCUGCCUUUCAGUGGGGGACAACAGUUGGAAACGACUGCUAAUACCGCAUAACGUAUAUUGGGGGCAUCCCUGGUAUACCAAAGCUUUAUGUGCUGAAAGAUGGUCUCGCGUCUGAUUAGCUAGAUGGCGGGGUAACGGCCCACCAUGGCGACGAUCAGUAGCCGGUCUGAGAGGAUGAACGGCCACAUUGGGACUGAGAUACGGCCCAGACUCCUACGGGAGGCAGCAGUGGGGAAUAUUGGGCAAUGGGGGAAACCCUGACCCAGCAACGCCGCGUGAAGGAAGAAGGCCUUCGGGUUGUAAACUUCUUUUAGUAGGGACGAAUACGUGACGGUACCUACAGAAAAAGCAACGGCUAACUACGUG